GACGAACGCUGGCGGCGCGCCUAACACAUGCAAGUCGAACGGAGUUACUCUGAAUGAAGUUUUCGGAUGGAUUUUGGAUUAACUUAGUGGCGAAACGGGUGAGUAACGCGUGAGUAACCUGCCCUGGAGUGGGGGACGAACAGUUGGAAACGACUGCUAAUACCGCAUAAGCCCACAGUGCCGCAUGGCACAGCGGGAAAAGGAUUUAUUCGCUUCAGGAUGGACUCGCGUCCAAUUAGCUAGUUGGCAGGGUAACGGCCUACCAAGGCGACGAUCCAUAGCCGGCCUGAGAGGGUGGACGGGCCACAUUGGGACUGAGACACGGCCCAGACUCCUACGGGAGGCAGCAGUGGGGAAUAUUGCACAAUGGGGGAAAACCCUGAUGCAGCGACGCCGCGUGAGCGAAGAAGUAUUUCGGUAUGUAAAGCUCUAUCAGCAGGGAAGAAAAUGACGGUACCUGACUAAGAAGCCCCGG
This 475-nucleotide ribosomal RNA is filed under the name uncultured bacterium. Its description in RNAcentral is "bacterial SSU rRNA". It matches the Rfam family "Bacterial small subunit ribosomal RNA", at positions 28 to 496 of the family's 1533-position model. The record is from RNAcentral.